UGCAGUCGAGCGGAACGACACUAACAAUCCUUCGGGUGCGUUAAUGGGCGUCGAGCGGCGGACGGGUGAGUAAUGCCUAGGAAAUUGCCUUGAUGUGGGGGAUAACCAUUGGAAACGAUGGCUAAUACCGCAUAAUGCCUACGGGCCAAAGAGGGGGACCUUCGGGCCUCUCGCGUCAAGAUAUGCCUAGGUGGGAUUAGCUAGUUGGUGAGGUAAUGGCUCACCAAGGCGACGAUCCCUAGCUGGUCUGAGAGGAUGAUCAGCCACACUGGAACUGAGACACGGUCCAGACUCCUACGGGAGGCAGCAGUGGGGAAUAUUGCACAAUGGGCGAAAGCCUGAUGCAGCCAUGCCGCGUGUAUGAAGAAGGCCUUCGGGUUGUAAAGUACUUUCAGUUGUGAGGAAGGGGGUAGCGUUAAUAGCGCUAUCUCUUGACGUUAGCAACAGAAGAAGCACCGGCUAACUCCGUGCCAGCAGCCGCGGUAAUACGGAGGGUGCGAGCGUUAAUCGGAAUUACUGGGCGUAAAGCGCAUGCAGGUGGUUCAUUAAGUCAGAUGUGAAAGCCCGGGGCUCAACCUCGGAACUGCAUUUGAAACUGGUGAACUAGAGUACUGUAGAGGG
Molecule: ribosomal RNA, 621 nt
Filed under: uncultured Vibrio sp.
Lineage: Bacteria; Pseudomonadati; Pseudomonadota; Gammaproteobacteria; Vibrionales; Vibrionaceae
Description: bacterial SSU rRNA
Rfam family: Bacterial small subunit ribosomal RNA
Source: RNAcentral